GCAAAGAAGGGGGUCGAGUGAUAAGUGGCAGAUAUGUGAGAGCAGAACUAAUAAACGGGCUCUGCCCGAUCACUAAAAUGGCCACCCCUGUCAGAACUACAGAUCACAAAAUGGCCGACCGCCAAAACUACAAGUCCCAGAAGCAAGGGGAACCCUCAGAAGGUGGAGCCGACUCACAGAUAAAGGGUCAAGAAAAACCAGGAAGAGGAAGAGAGAGUGCUGGAAGGAGCUAUGAACAAUAGAGAAAGAGACUAUAGAGAUUGGCUGGAUUUACUGUGUAUGAGCUGGAUUGUUUUGGAUUUACCUGUUGGCGUUUGGACCUGGACCUACCGAGAACCCGAUUCGUGUACCGAACCCUGCUAUCCUUGACCUCGCCUACGGCUUGGGUGGACCAGGACAGAGAAACAAACACACAGGGUCAUUUUUGAUGAGGGGCGGCAGUGGGCCCAUUGGUGCCUCUGUUCAUGGAAUGGAUGCUGGUGGAGGCCGGGACAGAGAUCCAGAUCAUGACGUGACUAGGGACGAUGGAGGAAUGGAGGGAUGACAUGAGUAGUGAUGAAUGAUCUAGAGAUGGGGGUUGAUGUUCUUUUGUCCUCUGUUCUUUUGGGACCCUGUUCCUUUUGGCAAGGAGGCAGUGGGGGUGGGGAGAAAUGGAGGGAUGAUGUGUUUCGACUCACUGUCCCAUUCUUUUUUGAGGGAGGGAUUAUUGGAGAUGAAGCGAGAGAGAAAUGAUAUGAUGUGUUUAAUCUUUCUUCCAUUCUUUUGGGACUGUUCCUUUUGGUGAAAGGGAGGAUUUAUGUAAUUUCUCUCCUCGUUCUCUUGGGAACCCUGUUCCUCUUGGAGAGAAGGUAUGGGAGGAUGGGGAGGAAAGAAUAUAGGGGUGGGAGAGAGGAAUUUGAAUUCAACGAAUGCUGAUGCCUCGUUUUUAUUAACAUACGUCUAAAUGAGAGAUGAGGUUUGAUUAAUAAGGGUUGUCAGUAUAUUAGCUUAGGACUGAUAGACAUGUUUAACAAGGAAUUUUCAAUUACACAUAGACUUGAGGUAAUUGUUGAAAACUUCUGGCGCUAACCACCCCUGUCAAGUUAUAUUAACUUGUGUAUCCAUCCAGUUGCCAUGUUCAUUGUGAAGGAACAGUGUAUCUCACUUUUUCAGACACUUUAGCCAUAGGUCCGAGUCAAUCUUCAACAGGAUAUAUACAGAAGGAGACUUUCAGACGUGGCACCUUCACAAUAAGGGUCAUUUUUGAUUAGUGGCGGCAGUGGGCCAGACACAGCUUCUCAUUGGUGCCUCUGUUCGUGGAAGGGAUGCUGGUGGAGGCCGGGACGAUGGAGGAAUGGAGGGAUGACAUGAGUAGUGAUGAAAGGGUAGGGGUGAAAGGACCUGAGCCCUAGGACCAUGCCCCAGGACUACCUGACAUGAUGACUCCUUGCUAUCCACAGUCCACCUGACCAUGCUGCUGCUCCAGUUUCAACUGUUCUGCCUUAUUAUUAUUCGACCAUGCUGGUCAUUUAUGAACAUUUGAACAUCUUGGCCAUGUUCUGUUAUAAUCUCCACCCGGCACAGCCAGAAGAGGACUGUCCACCCCACAUAGCCUGGUUCCUCUCUAGGUUUCUUCCUAGGUUUUGCCCUUUCUAGGGAGUUUUUCCUAGCCACCGUGCUUCUACACCUGCAUUGCUUGCUGUUUGGGGUUUUAGGCUGGGUUUCUGUACAGCACUUUGAGAUAUCAGCUGAUGUAUAAAUAAAUUUGAUUUGAUACUGUAAUCCCAUGUGUAUGUGUUUCACAUGGCGAGCCGUGUGUGAUGGGCCAGAAAUGCAGAUCAGGAAACUAUUGCAUGCAGGGAAAAGAUUACGCCAAAGUCCUCUCUGCUACGUCGUGUAUCUGUCGGGCCCACGACUUUGAAUGGCACUUAUAGUAUACUAGUAUAAUAACUCACAAUUGCAGUAUAAUAUGACACAUGUCCGAGCACAUCUUUUAUCACAAAGUAUUUCUUUUUCAAAUCUAAACAUGAGUAGAUAAACAGAAGUUCACAUUCCAUAAUGUCUAUGCGUGUUGUAUGAUGCUUUGUGUAUGUUGUCCCAUUUAAGCCAAUUUUGCAUUUAAUACACUAUUUCAGGAUCCCAUUCAUUUAGUUCAUUUUCGUUGUCAGUGCUCCAAUUAUCAGAUAUGGUUGGGGACCAUUUAACGCAAUUUGCUCCUAACGUCUGUCUCUCGGCUGAGCUCGUUUUUCUAUGCUUAAAAUAAGGUCGAGAAGAUGAGAGCUGUUAAUAGAUUGUAGAUGUUUUUAUCUUCUAAAGGCAGGGAAGAGAAAAGCAGUGAUACAUUUGGAUUUAAAUGGCAGCGGUAUCAGGUCAGACUGAGUUUUAAUUAGAAUCCAUUAGUCUCCUGUGAUAUCUCUCUCUCUCUCUCUGGUGAUAGAGACAUUGAAAUUAAAAAUACGAAAACUAUCUCUUUGAGAAACGUUCAGAGUGAAUAACAAUACAAC
Molecule: long non-coding RNA, 2483 nt
Organism: Oncorhynchus nerka (sockeye salmon)
Lineage: Eukaryota; Metazoa; Chordata; Actinopteri; Salmoniformes; Salmonidae
Exons: 4
Source: RefSeq, a predicted model, not a curated record